Long non-coding RNA from Choloepus didactylus (southern two-toed sloth), 552 nucleotides. RefSeq lists it as uncharacterized. The record is from RefSeq and is a predicted model, not a curated record. NCBI's taxonomy places the organism in Eukaryota, Metazoa, Chordata, Mammalia, Pilosa, Megalonychidae. The transcript has 3 exons.
GUGGUGUGGGGAGCAGAGUAAGAGAGUGAAGCUGUAGGCUAGAAAUAUUUAUUUAAUUAACAAAUAUAUACUGAGUGCCUAUUCUGCAUUAGGCACUAGGGAGACAAAGCUACUAUGACUGCAGAGUAGGGGAAGCAGACCCACAAAUAAAUAUAUAACUACAUACUUUGAAAAAUGCUAUGACGGAAAAGGGCUGCAGGUGAAGGGCCACAAUGGAUCCAGAAAUCAAUUCAGUGGAUCUCAACUAGGAACUUAAAAUGACAUAGAUUAAAAUAGGUAAAUAUCGGAAGUCAUUAUUCAUAGAAAAGGUUGCCAGCUGUCAUGUUCUAGGAAUAGGCUUAAGGAGACGCCCAUGUGGUAAAGAACUGAGUCUCUUACCGACAGCUGCAUGAGCAAGUGAGCUUGGACGCAGCCCCUUCAGAUGACUCCAGUCCUGGCCAAUGACUUGACUGCAAGUUGAGAGAACCUGAUAUAAAACCACCCAGCUAGGGCACUCUCAGAUUCCUGACACUCAGAAAUAAUGUGACAUAAUAAAUUAUUGUUUUAAAGUUG